GCCCAGGUGGUGUAAUUGGCAGCCACGCGAGUUCGAGGGGCUCGUGUCCGAAAGGACGUGCGGGUUCAAGUCCCGCCCUGGGCA
RNAcentral lists this transfer RNA (84 nucleotides) under Chloroflexota bacterium. Its description in RNAcentral is "Chloroflexi bacterium tRNA-Leu". It matches the Rfam family "tRNA". From Rfam's summary of the family: Transfer RNA (tRNA) molecules are approximately 80 nucleotides in length. Their secondary structure includes four short double-helical elements and three loops (D, anti-codon, and T loops). Lineage: Bacteria; Bacillati; Chloroflexota. RNAcentral also lists the same sequence under 2 other names. The record is from RNAcentral.